This 73-nucleotide transfer RNA is filed under the name Sus scrofa (pig). It matches the Rfam family "tRNA". Rfam says of the family: Transfer RNA (tRNA) molecules are approximately 80 nucleotides in length. Their secondary structure includes four short double-helical elements and three loops (D, anti-codon, and T loops). The record is from Rfam by way of RNAcentral. Lineage: Eukaryota; Metazoa; Chordata; Mammalia; Artiodactyla; Suidae.
UCUUGGGUGGACUAGUGGUUAAGGACCUGGUGUUGUCACUGCUGUGACUCAGGUUCGAUUCCUGGCCCAGGAA